Molecule: long non-coding RNA, 381 nt
Organism: Arabidopsis thaliana (thale cress)
Lineage: Eukaryota; Viridiplantae; Streptophyta; Magnoliopsida; Brassicales; Brassicaceae
Product: other RNA
Exons: 1
Source: RefSeq
AACAAGCAUGACAAAAACCGAAUCAACAAAACAGAUGAGCGUUCGGUUGCAAACAUGAUAAAUCUAGCAAAAGUCCUUUCAGCUGAAUUGAAACCAGUCAUCUUCAAACAUUUAAAGCUUGCCCUUUUCUUUAGCUACUUGAUGAAUAAUGGAGAAGAAGUAAGAGACCAAGCUUGAGGUGAACUAUCAAAUUGAAGAACUACAAGUAAUCCCCCCAGAAACAAAACCCACGUUUAUCCCAAGCUUGAGCUCCAUUUAUAGAAACUAUGUCCAGCUGAAUUAAACACGAAUCUAACUAAAACUCUAAAAUUUGGAAACUUGUAAGCAGAACCCUAGAAUUGGAAACUAAGUAAGUGAAUAAAGAGGAAUCUCUAAAAUCGG